Molecule: small RNA, 555 nt
Filed under: Pan troglodytes (chimpanzee)
Lineage: Eukaryota; Metazoa; Chordata; Mammalia; Primates; Hominidae
Description: processed transcript
Source: RNAcentral
CUCUCUUUGGGGAGAUUUUCUGGGUAAUAGAAAAUUUUAAAAUGUUAAAGAGUGUUGUAGACUCCGAAAAUGUUUUUAUCUAGUAUGUGUCUUAAGUUGGGAAGAUGCCCAGGAAAUGCAGGCAGCCGGUAGCCUUAAGAAGGAGUGUGCUGUGAAACUGCCAGAGGCAUGCAGCAUUGGUGAUGGAAAGCCCUUUGUCAUGAAUCUGCAGAAUCUGUAUAUGGCAGUCACCAAACAAGAGGUCCAAGUGGGACAGAAGCAUCAAGGCACUGGAGAUCCUCAUACCUCAAACAGUGCUUCCCUGCAAGGAAUCGAUAGCCAAUGUGUAAACCAGCCAGAACAACUGGUCUCCUCAGCCCCAACCCUCUCAGCACCUGAGAAAGAGUCCACGGGUACUUCAGGCCCUCUGCAGAGACCUCAGCUGUCAAAGGUCAAGAGGAAGAAGCCAAGGGGUCUCUUCAGUUAAUCUGUUGUGGCCUCAGCUGCUGAGGAUGGACUUGGAGAAUAGCUUCCAAGCUUCACCUUGAAAGAAGCUUACGUGGCAGCAAUAUUUCU